Molecule: long non-coding RNA, 1753 nt
Organism: Vespula pensylvanica (western yellowjacket)
Lineage: Eukaryota; Metazoa; Arthropoda; Insecta; Hymenoptera; Vespidae
Exons: 4
Source: RefSeq, a predicted model, not a curated record
GAGUUAUGAUGCUAGCUCAUUCAAUUUCAAAAGCAUUCCUUGCCAUAACGAUAACGACACUAUAACCAUUAUGACGCCUCCGAUUUCGUUAUAACUCUCUUCGCAACUCUCCAGCAACGGGUGGAUAAAAUAUGAGUUUGAAGCAAGCAGUUCAAAUAAUUUACAACUUUGAGACCAAACGUUUUGGUUGCUUAUACAUCGGGAAUAGAUAUAAAAAUGUAUUCGCUAGAGAAGCCAUUGUUCUAACGUAUUGGGCACAUAUAAAAAGAUGUACGAGAAAUACAAGCUUUACCUAAAUUUUUACGUUAUGAGCUUUACGUAAAAAAGUGGGCACAUGAAUUUAAAUUCUUAAAAUACUUCCAAGAAGAAUGGUUCGAUAAAAAUCAAAAUGGAUAAGAAUUGAUUUGGAAAUGUGCUGAAAUAAUCCUGCUACAAAAGCCAAGUAAAAACCCCAGAUCACCAUCAUCAUAUAGGCCAAUAACUCUUCUACUAUCUGCAAAUUAAUGAAAAAAACAAUAAAUAAAAGGCCAAGAAAAGAAAUCAUUGCUAAACAACUGAUCCUGGAUCAUCAAUCCGAAUUUAGAAAAAAACAACAUGAUCGGGCAGAUAUAUGCCUCCACCUAUAUAGUAAAAUAAACUGGAAAAAAUAUAUCCAGGAAAAAAUCAAAUAAAUAAAAAAUACAAGAAGAUGCACGUACUAAAUAAAAAAUCCAAAAGGAUACAGUACUUCAAAAAAUUUCAAACUGAGUACAACCAAUAAGGUGUUAAUAAGCAAUAUCAUUUUAAAGCCCAUCGGAAACGAAGAUGGCUUGCAAAUCUGGGACAUGGCAAAUCCAACAUAAAGAAAUGGAGAACCUACAAUCUAUUAUUCUACGUACUGUUCUGAAUGCACCUUGGUUCGUUAGAGACGAUAAUAUUAGGGAAAUCCUAAAAAUAUCAUCAGUUGAAGAAGAUAUUAUAAAUUUCUUAAAGACACAUCAAGUCAGUAUAAAUCUAUUCGAGAAAAGACUUCAUAAACCAACUCGAAAUCAACUUCUAAUCACCAUACAUGCAAAUAAAAGCUGCAAUACUAUUAUACUAUAUAGUUUAGUAAUUAUCUAUAAAUGGUAUACAAACAAUUAUUAAUUGUAUAUAGCAAUUAAAAACACGAAAAGAAAAUUGAAGGAAAAAUUUUGCUAUGAUCCGUUUACUACUAAAAUAACAGAAAUUUAUUAAUUGUGACAGAUCUAUUAUCCAUGACAUAAAUUUAAAAUCGUGGGUUUUGGAGGCAAAAGACAGUGUAUUUAUCUGAAUUCAAAGCAAGUAAAUGGUGGAUUCCGAAAUUUAAGAAUGUAUAUAGAAUCAUAUCUUGCAAUAUAACAACAUUCAAAACGCGAUCUAUAUUUCAAAAUAUGAAUAGUUCGCAAAAUUUUACAAAAUCUUUUGUUUCAUACGUAAGGUCUAACAUUCCAACUAUAUGAAUAUAUUAAAAAGAAGCGUCGUUAUUAUAAGUUAACCCUACCUGUCGAAGAUAAAAAAUAAAAAGAUGGCUGAUGUACUUGCCUAAAAGUUUUACAGAACUACAUCUGUAAUAUAAUGUCCACACACCAAUAUAAAUACAAGUAGAUAUUCGUUUUAUUGAGAAUAUGUUUUCAAUAGCAAAACAAAAUUCGCUAAUGACUGACCUAGAAAUACUGUCAAUAAACUACUUAGCAAAAUUAAAUAUCCUUGCCAAAAAUGCACUACUGUAUUUACUUUACUUAAGUAUGCUUAU